This 46-nucleotide transfer RNA is filed under the name Bryum cyathiphyllum. RNAcentral's name for it is "partial tRNA-Phe". Lineage: Eukaryota; Viridiplantae; Streptophyta; Bryopsida; Bryales; Bryaceae. The record is from RNAcentral.
CCGGAAUAGCUCAGUUGGUAGAGCAGAGGACUGAAAAUCCUCGUGC